Molecule: ribosomal RNA, 493 nt
Filed under: uncultured bacterium
Lineage: Bacteria
Description: bacterial SSU rRNA
Rfam family: Bacterial small subunit ribosomal RNA
Source: RNAcentral
GAUGAACGCUAGCGGCAGGCUUAAUACAUGCAAGUUGAGGGGCAGCAUGAUAUACGCGAGUAUAUUGAUGGCGACCGGCGGACGGGUGAGUAAUAGGUAGGAGACCUACCUCAUACAGGGGGAUAGCAUAGAGAAAUCUGUGGUAAUACCCCAUGAGGUUAUAUGAAUAGAGGCAUAUAAUCAAAGCAUAAGCGAUUAUGCGGUAUGAGAGGGGCCUACUGACCAUUAGCUAGUUGGUGAGGUAAGGGCUCACCAAGGCGAAGAUGGUUAGGGGUUUUGAGAGAGAGACCCCCCACAUUGGAACUGAGAGACGGUCCAGACUCCUACGGGAGGCAGCAGUAGGGAAUAUUGGGCAAUGGGCGAAAGCCUGACCCCAGCCAUGCCGCGUGAAGGAAGACGGCCUUAUGGGUUGUAAACUUCUUUACUACGCGAAUGAGGUUAGACGAGAUACUAAUAGGAAGGUAUGUAGUAAAAAGCAACCGGUAACUCCGUG